RNAcentral lists this ribosomal RNA (479 nucleotides) under Hemiphractus scutatus (Spix's horned treefrog). RNAcentral describes it as "partial 16S ribosomal RNA". It matches the Rfam family "Bacterial large subunit ribosomal RNA", at positions 1851 to 2569 of the family's 2925-position model. Lineage: Eukaryota; Metazoa; Chordata; Amphibia; Anura; Hemiphractidae. The record is from RNAcentral.
GGUCCAGCCUGCCCAGUGACUUUAUUCAACGGCCGCGGUAUCCUAACCGUGCAAAGGUAGCGUAAUCACUUGCCCUUUAAAUAAGGACUAGUAUGAACGGCAUCACGAAGGUUAAACUGUCUCCCCUUUUUAAUCAGUGAAACUAUCCCCCCCGUGAAGAGUCGGGGAUAUAUCUACAAGACGAGAAGACCCUAUGGAGCUUUAAAUUCUAACAACAAUUGCUCUUAAAUAUAUUUAGCAUUUAUGAUUGUUAAUUUUAGGUUGGGGCGACCACGGAGAAAAACCUAACCUCCAUGCUGACAUAGUAAAACUACAAUUUUAAUACCAUUAAAUUGGCAUCCAUUGACCCAAUAUUUUGAUCAACGAACCAAGUUACCCUAGGGAUAACAGCGCCAUCCACUUCAAGAGCUCAUAUCGACAAGUGGGUUUACGACCUCGAUGUUGGAUCAGGGUAUCCCAGUGGUGCAGCCGCUACUAAA